CCGGUUGAGCUUCCGACCGGCACAAAUAACCGCCUCCUGCCGGAGGCGGUUAUUAUCGUAUAAACUCAAGCCUGUUUUUUCCGGUCGAC
RNAcentral lists this small RNA (89 nucleotides) under Paenibacillus sp. P22. Its description in RNAcentral is "Repression of heat shock gene expression (ROSE) element". The record is from RNAcentral. Lineage: Bacteria; Bacillati; Bacillota; Bacilli; Caryophanales; Paenibacillaceae.